RNAcentral lists this long non-coding RNA (459 nucleotides) under Olea europaea subsp. europaea. The record is from RNAcentral. Lineage: Eukaryota; Viridiplantae; Streptophyta; Magnoliopsida; Lamiales; Oleaceae.
CUCUUCUUCGAGAUCUCCAAGAGGUGUAAUUGGGUAAAGAUAUUCAGCCAUUUCUGUGUUUCUAAACCAAAUUGCAAUUUUAAGUGGGGUAUAUCCACUUUUACUUCUAAGUGGGUUAUAUCCACUUUUACUUCGAAUUGCUGGCAAAUUCUUGUUUUUAUGGUACAUGACCUUGGCAAUUUCAACGACCCCUGAUACAGCUGCAGUACAGAAAGCCGUAUAUCCAUAUUCAUUCUUCAAUUCCAGUUCACUUUCUUUCAAGCAUUCAACUAGAUGGCAGACAAAAGCAGUUUGUUUGGCUGACACAGCUAUGUGAAGAGCUGUAUUUCCUUCUUUUGUUAUUAUAAUAUUUCAGGCUAUAUUUCUUUCCAAACUCACACUUCCUUUAGCAGCCUUCCAAUCACCUUUUAGAGCAGCUUUGUGUAAUGUGUUUACUCUUCCUGAUGAUGUUUGGGGAGA